Molecule: ribosomal RNA, 367 nt
Filed under: Flavobacteriaceae bacterium bacterium enrichment culture clone NPHTC-004
Lineage: Bacteria; Pseudomonadati; Bacteroidota; Flavobacteriia; Flavobacteriales; Flavobacteriaceae
Description: bacterial SSU rRNA
Rfam family: Bacterial small subunit ribosomal RNA
Source: RNAcentral
GCGUAUACAAUCUACCUUGUACUGGGGUAUAGCCUUUAGAAAUGAAGAUUAAUCCCCCAUAGUCUGUUAGAGUGGCAUCAUUUUUAGAGUAAAGGUUACGGUAUAAGAUGAGUAUGCGUUUUAUUAGUUUGUUGGUGUGGUAACGGCACACCAAGACUACGAUAGAUAGGGGCCCUGAGAGGGGGAUCCCCCACACUGGUACUGAGACACGGACCAGACUCCUACGGGAGGCAGCAGUGAGGAAUAUUGGACAAUGGAGGCAACUCUGAUCCAGCCAUGCCGCGUGCAGGAAGACUGCCCUAUGGGUUGUAAACUGCUUUUAUACAGGAAGAAACACCUCUACGUGUAGAGGCUGACGGUACGUAAG